RNAcentral lists this ribosomal RNA (443 nucleotides) under uncultured bacterium. RNAcentral's name for it is "SSU rRNA". It matches the Rfam family "Bacterial small subunit ribosomal RNA", at positions 26 to 518 of the family's 1533-position model. The record is from RNAcentral.
AGAACGAACGCUGGCGGCAGGCUUAACACAUGCAAGUCGAGCGCCCCGCAAGGGGAGCGGCAGACGGGUGAGUAACGCGUGGGAACAUACCCUCCGGUUCGGAAUAGCUCAGGGAAACUUGGAUUAAUACCGGAUACGGUCGAGAGGCGAAAGAUUUAUCGCCGGAGGAUUGGCCCGCGUUCGAUUAGCUAGUUGGUGAGGUAACGGCUCACCAAGGCGACGAUCGAUAGCUGGUCUGAGAGGAUGAUCAGCCACAUUGGGACUGAGACACGGCCCAAACUCCUACGGGAGGCAGCAGUGGGGAAUAUUGGACAAUGGCGCAAGCCUGAUCCAGCCAUGCCGCGUGAGUGAUGACGGCCUUAGGGUUGUAAAGCUCUUUCGCUAGGGACGAUAAUGACGGUACCUAGACAAGAAGCCCGGCUAACUUCGUGCCAGCAGCCGAC